This 6863-nucleotide unclassified non-coding RNA is filed under the name Orussus abietinus. RNAcentral describes it as "protein mini spindles, transcript variant X4". The record is from RNAcentral. Lineage: Eukaryota; Metazoa; Arthropoda; Insecta; Hymenoptera; Orussidae.
UCUUUUUUGUUUGUGUUAAACUUGACAGUUAUAAGGACGAGGGACAUUAUAUUUGAAAAUGAAAUGCAGUGGGGUUUAAUGGCUGCUGAAACGUUUCGACGGAUGGUCUCGAUUUUGAAUCUGUGAGGUUUUUACUUGAAUGAGACUGGCAGACUCGCCGAUCGCUCUCAACGGCGAGCUCCGGUCCGCCUCGUGAAUCGGCGGUAUUGACGUCUUGCGAGUAGGAUUUAAUCCCGUCCACUACGAGACAAGUCAUUUGGAAAAAUGGAGGAGGACAUUGAGUAUACGAAAUUGCCUUUAGAGGAGCGCUGUGUGCACAAGUCAUGGAAGGCACGAUUACACGGUUAUGAGGAAUGCACAAAAACGUUUCGUCGCAUAGAUGAUGAAAAAUCACCAGAGUGGAAUAAAUUCAUUGGACUAGUAAAAAAGUUUGUCGUUGAUAGCAAUGCGGUUGCCCAAGAGAAAGGUUUGGAAGCAACGCUAGCAUUUGUUGAAAAUGCCGCGGCAGCUUCAAAAACUGUCAGUGACGUAAUGAGCGGUAUUGUCACUAAAUGUAUCGCUGCACCCAAAGCAAAGACAAAGGAUUUAGCUGUACAGAUAACACUCAUGUAUAUAGAAAUAGAAAAGCAAGAUGCAGUACAAGAGGAAUUGUUGAAAGGCACCGAGGCAAAAAAUCCAAAGAUUGUCUCCGCUUGCAUCUCUGCACUGACUUUGUCCCUCAGAGAGUUCGGUCCCAAAGUUAUUAACAUUAAGCCACUGAUUAAGAAAAUGCCAAGUUUCUUGGAGGACAGAGAUAAAACUGUUAGAGACGAAGGGAAAGCCAUGGUCAUUGAAAUAUACAGAUGGAUUGGAGCACCUUUGAAACAACAACUUAGUACCUUAAAGCAAGUACAAUUAACAGAAUUGGAAACUGAGUUUGCACAGAUAGAAAAAAGCACGGUUGCUCCAACUCGCUACUUAAAGUCCCAGAAAUCAAAGAUUAGGGCCGUUGCAGAGUCAGGUGCUAGUGCUACCCACGAAGGUGGCGAAGAGGAAGAUGACGAUGCUUCCGCCUCGGAAAUAGAUCCUUACGAACUAUUGGAACCUGUCGAUAUUCUUUCCAAACUUCCAAAGGAUUUCUUUGAGAGCGUUGAGGCAAAAAAAUGGCAGGAACGAAAAGAGGCAUUAGAGGCUUUGGAAACUUUAGUCAAGAACCCAAAACUAGAAAACGGCGACUACGGUGAUGUAGUGCGAGCUUUGAAAAAGAUGAUCGCAAAAGACUCAAAUGUGUUAGUAGUUGCCUUAGCAGGGAAGUGUUUAGCUGGUCUAGCAUCAGGACUGAAAAAGCGAUUCCAACCAUAUGCUUUAGCAUGUCUACCUGUGAUUUUAGAGAAGUUUCGUGAGAAAAAACAAAAUGUUGUACUAGCCCUUCGCGAGUGCUGUGAUGCUAUAUUCCAAAGUAUUGCUAUCGACGUUAUGCUGGAGGACGUGGUAGCUGCAUUGGAGAAUAAAAAUCCCGCAGUGAAAGCUGAGACCGCUGCUUUCAUGGCACGUUGCUUCGCCCGAACAUUACCUUCGACUUUGAAUAAAAAAUUAUUGAAAGCAUAUACCGGGGCACUGCUAAAAACUUUGAACGAACCAGACCCAACUGUUCGAGACAAUUCUGCGGAAGCCCUUGGGACAGCCUUGAAGUUAGUCGGUGAAAAGGCAAUAUCACCAUUUCUUACCGACUUAGACAAUUUAAAGAUGGCAAAGAUCAAAGAGUGUGCGGAUCAAGCCGUGAUUCAGGUGAAGAUGCCAGUGGUUAGAAAGGCGCCGAGUGAGAGACCAAACACGGCGCCGGCAAAAAUAGAGUCACCUGUAAAGUCCAAGGAAUCUGAAAAUCAAGGAGCACCCAAAGCAGGCAAGAGGCCAAAUACCACGGCGACUAAAAAGGGUCUCUCCAAGAAAUCCACAAAUUCUUCGCUCACGAAUCUAGGUGGAACCAAGAAAUCUAACGCAACAAAGGUUCAAGUCGAGAGAAAUCUUAGUAGUGAAGAGGUGGAUGAAUUAGCUGCGCAAACAUUACCCAGCGAUGUGAUCUCUGGACUUGUCGAUAGCAACUGGAAAACACGUUUGGCUGCUGUCGAACAACUGUCAGAAGCAGUGAAACUCAUGGAUCCAGCGGAAGUGUCUACGCAGGUCAUUGUCAGGACCCUGGCCAAAAAACCUGGGUUCAAGGACACGAAUUUCCAGGUUCUCAAGCUUCGACUGGAAAUUGUCAAAAUGCUCGCAGAGAAUUAUCCUUUCUCCAGCACCGUGUCGGAGUAUUGUAUCAUGGAUAUCACGGAGAAACUUGGCGACGGGAAAAAUAGUGCCGUGGCGAGCGACACGCUCAUGGCUAUUGCCGAGGCGACGAGUUUCGAGCUCGUGGCAAACGAAACCAUAGCAUUCGCUUUCAAUCAGAAGAACCCGAAGGUUCAACAGGAGACUCUCUUGUGGCUAUCCAAAGCCUUGCUCGAAUUCGGUUACACAAUCAACGCGAAGUCGAUAAUGGAAAAUAUCAAGAAAGCAGUGGGCGCGACGAAUCCUAGCGUGCGCACAGCAGCGAUUACGUUAGUAGGAACUCUGUACAUGUACAUGGGCAAGCCCCUCCUCAUGUUCUUCGAGAACGAAAAGCCGGCCUUGAAGCAGCAAAUUGAACAGGAGUGCGAAAAGAAGAGGGAAACGCCGCCGGCACCCGUGCGUGGACUUAAAAGUAAAAAGGGCAGGGUGGAGGAAGACGAGGACGGAGAACCCGACGAGAAAGUUGGCGGAAGUCAGUCGAACAUUUCCGAUCUCUUCCCCCGGGUCGACAUCAGCAAUCAAAUCACCGAAAGCUUGCUCGCCGAGUUGUCUGACAAGAACUGGAAGGUUCGUAACGAAGGUCUACAAAAGAUAGCCGGGAUUCUCAACGAGGCGAAAUUCAUAAAAGGAUCUAUCGGGGAUCUGCCGCAAGGAUUGGCAUUGCGACUGGUCGACAGCAACAGCAAGAUCGCCCAAUCCACUUUGGGUCUCUGUCAGGCUUUGGCCACCGCCAUGGGCCCCUCUGCCAAAACUCAUAUUCGCACCCUCUUCCCUGGUUUCGUUCAAUGCCUGGGAGAUUCCAAGAACUGGAUCCGCACCGCCGCUAUUUCCUGUAUCAACACCUGGGGCGACCAGUGCGGCUACAAAGAAUUCUUCGACGGCGAGAUUAUCGGCGAUGCCCUGAAGACUGGUUCACCGACUCUCAGAGCAGAGCUGUGGAUCUGGCUUGCCCAGAAAUUACCCGGAAUACCGGUCAAGCAAAUACCGAAGGACGAGCUUACCGCGUGCAUUUCCCAUUUGUACAGCAACUUGGAAGACCGCAACUCCGAUGUGAGGAAAAACGCCCAGGAGGCAGUUUUGGGAUUCAUGAUCCAUCUGUCCUACGAAGCCAUGAGCAGGAGUACGGAGAAAUUAAAGCCAGGGUCUAGAACCGCGGUAUUGGCAGCCCUGGACAAGGCAAGGCCCAAUCUACCGAUUAAACCUCUGCCCUCGAAGAAGCAAGCAUCCGAUGACGGCUCGCAGCAGAAAACCGUAAAGAGCGGAGGCGCCGUGAAGGCGAAUAAAGCCGCGGUCAAGACAAAGGGCGCGUCCUCGUCGAAGCCCAGCAGUGCCCGCAAGAAGGACGAAGACGUCGACACGAGCCCGCUGCUGGCGACGAACAAUCUGAAGCACCAGAGAGUAAUCGACGAGCAGAAGUUAAAGGUCUUGAAGUGGAACUUCACUACACCUAGGGAAGAAUUCGUGGACUUGCUGAAGGAACUGAUGUCGGCCGCUAACGUGAACAAGACGUUGAUGGCGAACAUGUUCCACUCGGACUUCCGGUACCACCUCAAGGCGAUCGAAGCUCUGACGGAGGAUCUGCCCGGCAACAGUAAGGCCCUCGUCUCAAAUCUUGACCUCAUAUUGAAGUGGUUGACGCUUCGAUUCUUCGAUACGAAUCCAUCGGUAUUGCUGAAAGGCUUGGACUACUUGCAAACCGUUUUCAAUCUGCUGAUCGAGGAUCAGUAUCACAUGCUGGAGAACGAAGCUGCCUCGUUCAUUCCUUAUCUAAUUAUUAAGAUCGGGGAUCCCAAAGACGCCGUUCGGAACGGUGUUCGAGCCCUCUUCAAGCAGAUCGCUUUAGUAUAUCCUGUUAGCAAGCUGUUCUCCUACGUCAUGGAGGGCUUGAAGUCUAAAAAUGCUAGACAGAGAACCGAGUGUCUUGAUCAGCUCGGGUCUCUGAUCGAGAAUUAUGGAGUUCCCGUUUGCCAGCCGUCUCCCUCGUCUGCUUUGAAAGAAGUUGCUAAACAAAUAGCUGACAGGGAUAAUUCCGUGCGAAAUGCAGCGCUCAAUUGCAUCGUCCAAGCCUACUUCCUCGAGGGUGAACGAGUCUAUAAACUGAUUGGGCAGAUAUCUGAGAAAGAUCAGUCAUUGCUGGACGAGAGAAUUAAAAGAGCUGCAAAGAAUCGCCCAGUAAAGUCAGCUUCAUCGGCGAGGAUAGUGGUGCCACCAAUUUCUACAAAUGCCCCUGCGACAGAGGAAAUGGAGGAUGACUACGAAGAAGAGGAGGAGAACGAAGCUCCGGAGCAGGAAGUCGAUGUACUCAACGAUGGGGACGAUAGUAAAGAUAAUCAACCCGAGAAGGCCGAAGAUAUGACUCUUGUCAAUAAGGAAAACAAUGAGGAAUCGCAAUCGCCGACUGCGACAAAAAAUGAGGGAAACAAGGACGAACGGGUUGAAGCUUCGGCAGAAUCGGAAUCUCAAUCUGAACAAGUCACUCGCGAAGCGGAAAAUAAGACAAAUCCCACGCCGAUGCAAACGAAAGUAUCAGGACCCUUUGGCCUCGACAUGGAUCUGCUGCAGAGGAUCGAGCUCAGUGCUCCUGUCAAGUAUCGGUACCCUAAGCUACUGACUCCAGAUUUCUCCGAACCAGUAAAUUUAGCUCCUCCGCCAACUCAAACAAUUUUGAUGUCACCGCCGAAGCUCUUAAUUCCUAAAUCUUCGUCUGUAUCUCCCCUGGGACAAUCGGCUACUAAAGAGGAGAGUCUGGAGCGCAAUAUUCUUGCAAUAGCCAGCCCGGAUUUGCCGACUGCCAUUCAGGCUAUGAAUAGCAUAGAUAACUUAUUGAAGUCGCAUCAGUUCAGUAUGCUGCAGUCGAGGGAGGACAAGUUCAUCACUUCUUUGAACCUGCAACUCAAGCUUCUUCAGACGUAUCCUCUCCACCAGGGAAGCGUCGACGUGUCCAAGGGCUUCCGAAAUGCCUUCAUGGUGAUACUUUCGUUCUACGAAUCCGGGGUCUUGGGGAAGAACGUACCGGCGGUGCACCUGAAGGAGCUCAUUGAUCAGAUGAUCUGUUUGUUGGCCGAGAAUAAGCUGGACCGGCUGAACGAAGCGGAAGCUUACAACAGGGUCAUCAACAACAUCGUCAUGAAAUUGAUAGAUCAUUCUAAUCACACGACCAUCAUAUGCGUGCUAAUCCAAUUGUUACACGGCUGUGCGGAAUCGAAUGCUCCUUCCAAGUACGAAGACCUGGUGAUGAAGUGCUUGUGGAAGAUAGUAAAGACUAUUCCAAAUUGGGCCGCCGACUUGGAAUACGAUAACAUACUCCUGGAGGUGCACCACUUCUUCAAGGAUUACCCUUCGUCUUGGUGGAAGAAACGAAAGCCUGACACAGCCUUGCGUACGGUUAAAACCGUGCUUCACAGUAUGACCAAGGUUAAGGGCAGCACGAUUUUAAGUCACUUGACGUUGAUAAGUAACACGAACGAAUCCGAACUACAUUCCUACCUGAUGAGACUUAUCGCGACCUUCAAGCCCGACGAGGUUAACGCAAUGUCGAGGCCUUCUUCUAAGGCGAGCAACCCAAGCCGGACCCAGAAACAUCUUUCGAAGUUGACUCAUCAACAAUUGUCGGAGAUAUUCAAAAAAAUUGGAUCCAAGCACCACACGCAAGAGGGCUUGGUACAGCUUUACGACUUCAAGCAGCAGAAUCCUGAAGCAGACGUUCAACCCUUCCUGAUGUCAUCUCAUCAGCUUUUCCAAGACUUCAUCGAGCAGGGACUCCGAGAUAUCGACCAAGCGAGGAAGAAUCAAGGACUCAUAUCCCAGGCCAAUAAUCAAACCUUCCGAACCUCCCGCCCCGGUUGCAGAGGAGAAAAGACUAAUGGAUCCCAUGCUCAGGCUGGAGAAAUUGAGAGCGCUCGAGGCCCAGUGUAGAACCACUGCACCGAGCCAUUCCAAUCCGACAUGAGUCCAAGAUGAACGCACUUUCGUACUACUUUAGGUUUCGAUUAUUCAAAGAUAACGCGUAGUCGAGGAACAUCCUAUUUAUGGCGUCGCAUCGGAAAGCGUACAAGUAAUUCAGCAUGCAUCGUAUCGUACUUACGGAUCGGUCAGGGGGAGGCCUAGGUAAAUGGUAACGAUUGCGACAUGUCUCGUUGGGGUUUUGUUGUCUUUUUCUUUCUUUCAAUCAGGCUAAGGUCUUUUCGUUAACGCGAGUAGAGGAGGAACGCUCCCUUCGCAGGAUCACCAGUGCAUGAAACAUAAAGGCACGUAUUAAUAAUCAGUGCAUGAGCAGAACAGUUUAUAAUAAUGUACGUAAUUGCUAUAUACCUUCGACGUCCAGUGCGAGAUUAACAGUAGCUCGACUUCACCUCGUGGUUACAUGUAUAGUUGAUACUAUUAUUAAUAAUAUUAUGUAACGUUCAUGUGUUAUGCCAGCCGUAUUUAUGAAGUAUAGGAGCAGAGAAGGAUAUUAAAUUCUGUAAUAACAGACGGAGUCCACGUUGGUUUCAGACUGAGUUAUUUGUAGCUGAUUUUAUAUCGUUAUUUUUUUAUAAUAAACACUUCGUCUUUUUUAA